CGGGACGGGUGAGUAAUGUCUGGGAAACGUGCCUGAUGGAGGGGGAUAACUACUGGAAACGGUAGCUAAUACCGCAUAACGUCGCAAGACCAAAGAGGGGGACCUUAGGGCCUCUUGCCAUCGGAUGUGCCCAGAUGGGAUUAGCUAGUAGGUGGGGUAACGGCUCACCUAGGCGACGAUCCCUAGCUGGUCUGAGAGGAUGACCAGCCACACUGGAACUGAGACACGGUCCAG
Molecule: ribosomal RNA, 234 nt
Filed under: uncultured bacterium
Lineage: Bacteria
Description: partial 16S ribosomal RNA
Rfam family: Bacterial small subunit ribosomal RNA
Source: RNAcentral